AAGCUUACAAUCAUCUUAACUUUUGUAAAAGUUAGAGUUUUAUCAACUAGUCUUUUCUAGUCUCCUUCCCCUUUAGCGUGUCUGAACUAGAAGAUUCUUCUAUCUGAUUCCUGAACUGUUGAAGAAAUAUUUCAAUGUCCAUCUCUUCUGCGCUAUGAAUUCUUUGGGAUUCUCCAGCUAUAAAGGUGUCUUCUUCUUCAUUUGAGGAAAUCUGUCUAGAAUGAAAACGCGAAUGAAUUAUGCUGAAACUGCAAAAGUGACUACCAACGUAGCUAUCGACGGUCCAUUAGUGGCCACCAUCGUAUGAAGGAAAAGAAUUGAAUGAAGAUUGGGGAAUUCUGACUAAGUGUGGCGAUACGGAGGCUCUCGACGGACCGUCAUCUCCACGACGGAUCUUGCUUCACAUCCGUCAUCGUCAACAGAAAGUAGCCCCAAUACCCAUCUUGAAAAGAAGCAAAUUUCGGAGUGGACCACGACGGUUCAUCGUGGACUUGACGACCGUCAUCUAGGUUUUUGACUCAGACGCGGUUUUUGGGCAGAUUUUUCUUAAAUAGAUUUCCCUAUUUUAUUAGGACUAGUAUUAUAAAUACUUGUAAAAACCUCAUUUUUGAGGUUAGACUCUUGGGUAUUUUUUAGAUUUUAUUAUUCUAGUUGUGAACUUGUGAUUUUGGGAAAUUAUUCUAUUUUUUGGAAAUCGUUUAUUGCAAGCUUAUUGAUUAA
Long non-coding RNA from Solanum lycopersicum (tomato), 720 nucleotides. RefSeq lists it as uncharacterized. The record is from RefSeq and is a predicted model, not a curated record. NCBI's taxonomy places the organism in Eukaryota, Viridiplantae, Streptophyta, Magnoliopsida, Solanales, Solanaceae.